This 465-nucleotide ribosomal RNA is filed under the name Vreelandella stevensii. RNAcentral describes it as "partial 16S ribosomal RNA". It matches the Rfam family "Bacterial small subunit ribosomal RNA", at positions 338 to 795 of the family's 1533-position model. The record is from RNAcentral. Lineage: Bacteria; Pseudomonadati; Pseudomonadota; Gammaproteobacteria; Oceanospirillales; Halomonadaceae.
CCUACGGGGGGCAACAGUGGGGAAUAUUGGACAAUGGGCGAAAGCCUGAUCCAGCCAUGCCGCGUGUGUGAAGAAGGCCUUCGGGUUGUAAAGCACUUUCAGUGGGGAAGAAAGCCUUGGGGCUAAUACCCUCGAGGAAGGACAUCACCCACAGAAGAAGCACCGGCUAACUCCGUGCCAGCAGCCGCGGUAAUACGGAGGGUGCGAGCGUUAAUCGGAAUUACUGGGCGUAAAGCGCGCGUAGGCGGUCUGAUAAGCCGGUUGUGAAAGCCCCGGGCUCAACCUGGGAACGGCAUCCGGAACUGUCAGGCUAGAGUGCAGGAGAGGAAGGUAGAAUUCCCGGUGUAGCGGUGAAAUGCGUAGAGAUCGGGAGGAAUACCAGUGGCGAAGGCGGCCUUCUGGACUGACACUGACGCUGAGGUGCGAAAGCGUGGGUAGCAAACAGGAUUAGAUACCCCGGUAGUC